UUGCAUGCUUCUGCAAAGGCAUUUCAAGCUGAAGGGAAAGUAUCUACAGAUCCUGUAGCUAUUGAUGCACCCGGUGGCUUUUUAUUUGAAUGGUGACCAGUCUUUUGGGAUAUAUUUAUUGCUAGAACAAAUGAGAAGCACUCUGACGCUGCUGAAUCCUACAUUGAGGUGGGUUUGUGAGAUUUUGGGUAGAGUUUUUUUCCUUUCUUUGGGCUUAACUUCCAGAAAUUUCACUCUCUUGCAUGUCUUUGGUUUCGUGAUUUGCCCUAAUUGUUGUGGUUGGUCCCUCCAUGCUAAAUCAGAAUGAAUUACAAUAAUUGCAAUCUGGAAAGUGAAAUCUGAUCCAGUCGCAGCACAGCUUUGUGGGUUUCUUGAUUCAAAGAAAAUAAGGUCAAGUUUGAUUUUUAAUAGUUAGUUUAUUUUUUUCUUGCUUUUUGCUAAGGUCCCUAUGAUCCAGUUUUGAUCGAAGCCUGGGACCAUUGGGAUGAUCAACAUGUUUCUGAAAAUGAUCAUCCUAGAGCAUUUCCAGACAAUCAGGUUGCUUUUGAUAUCAUUGAUCAAAAGAAAAGAUUAUGUUCAGCUUACAUUUGAAGCCCUUUAUUAUUAUUAUUAUUUUAUUAACUCUAUUUCAUCGCUUUGCAUUGUGUGCUAUGUUGUGUUUGUUUUACAACAUGGGGGUAAGGAUCUUGAAAGCUUUGUGCUCCUGAAUUUUGACGAAGCACAGAGUCUAUUAGUUCAGGUAAAUAGAGAUUUAUUUCAUUGAUAUUUUUUGUUCAUCUGCGAAUCUUUGAUCUGCUUCUUAACAAAGAGCCUAUUAUGUUUUAUAUAAGUUACGGCAGCCCUAGCAGUGGCUGAAUCAGCAAAUGAGUUCAUUUACCGCUAAACUUUGAUUAAAGCGCUGAGUAAGUUCAUUUACUAUUAAACUUUGAUUAAAGCUGGCUUUCUUGAUUCAAAGAAAAUGAGUCAAGUUUGAUUUUUAAUAGUUAGUUUAUUUUGUGUAUUCAAUAACUUCAUGGUGUAUCUCCUUGAAUUUAUGGGACUCUUCUUAUACUUCGUUUGGUCAAACUACCGUAGGGAGUGCAGCAAUUUUUGGCCUUUUCUUGGGUGCUGGUAGCUUGGUACAUUGUGGGAAAUCUUACUAACUUUUCUCUUGCUACUAUGAUAAAACCAAGUUUUCUGGAGACUCCGGGUAUGGAUUUUGGAUCUGUUUAUGGCAUGCAGAGAGCAUUAAGUGAAGGAGACAUAAAGGAUGGGGUUGGGUCAUUGAUACUGAGUUUUUAUGACAGACUCUUGGUAAUGGCAAUAUGAGCUUCAUCCACUCUCCUCACGAACAGCCUGUGAUGAUCACCACCUACCCUACUAAGGACCGCAGGGAAAAGCUUUCCAGAUACAGAAAUAAAAAGACACAGGAACUUUGGCAGAAGAAUCAAGUAUGCUUGCAGGAAGGCUCUUGCAAACUGUCAACAAAGAAUUCGUGGAUGGUUUGCAAAGACAGAAGAGCCAGACAUGUCCAGAAGGCAAUAACUCUUAACUAAUUCGGUAAGAAGAAGAAUAUGAAUGAAAUAGCUAGGUCUGAUGAAGUGUAAUGCAAAGAAUGAGUAGUAGUGAAGGCUGGCAAAGAGAAUUAGUGGAAAGCCUAAAGAGGUAACGCUAAAUAAACAAGACCUUUCUCCCAACUCCAACAGAAGUAGUGUCAGAUAAACUGUUUGAAGAAAGGUAGCGGACCUCCUCAGCAAUUUAAAUUCUUUAUGUUUGGUACUUGGUGUAGAUUUCAAGGACACCAUUUGUAAAAUUCACCGCACGAUGGAUGAUUCCAACGCAACAAAGGAUGUAACUAACCCUACGAUUCAGAAGUUCGCAACAAAAAUUUGAAGUUCUCAAGAUUCAAGAGGUCAAGAUACAGAGAACACAGAAAGUUUGUACCUAUGUAAAACUGUUUUACAAGUUUAUGAAAGGGGAAUUUAUUGUAAA
Molecule: RNA transcript, 1971 nt
Organism: Pistacia vera
Lineage: Eukaryota; Viridiplantae; Streptophyta; Magnoliopsida; Sapindales; Anacardiaceae
Exons: 4
Source: RefSeq, a predicted model, not a curated record